This 303-nucleotide ribosomal RNA is filed under the name uncultured bacterium. RNAcentral describes it as "partial 16S ribosomal RNA". It matches the Rfam family "Bacterial small subunit ribosomal RNA", at positions 507 to 807 of the family's 1533-position model. The record is from RNAcentral.
AGCAGUAGCCGCGGUAAUACGGAGGGGGCUAGCGUUGUUCGGAAUUACUGGGCGUAAAGCGCACGUAGGCGGCUUUGUAAGUUAGAGGUGAAAGCCCGGAGCUCAACUCCGGAAUUGCCUUUAAGACUGCAGAGCUAGCAGGUGAGAGAGGUGAGUGGAAUUCCGAGUGUAGAGGUGAAAUUCGUAGAUAUUCGGAAGAACACCAGUGGCGAAGGCGGCUUACUGGCUCAUUCUAGACGCUGAGGUGCGAAAGCGUGGGGAGCAAACAGGAUUAGAUACCCGUGUAGUCCCUGUCUCUUAUAC